This 814-nucleotide ribosomal RNA is filed under the name uncultured Pseudomonadota bacterium. RNAcentral describes it as "bacterial SSU rRNA". It matches the Rfam family "Bacterial small subunit ribosomal RNA", at positions 58 to 891 of the family's 1533-position model. Lineage: Bacteria; Pseudomonadati; Pseudomonadota. The record is from RNAcentral.
CAAGUCGAGUGCGCGGUUGUAGCAAUACAACUGGCGCACGGCGCACGGGUGCGCAACACGUGGGUAACCUGCCCUUUGGUGGGGAAUAACUCCGCGAAAGCGGAGCUAAUUCCGCAUAAGAUCCGCAAGGAUGAAAGCCGCAAGGCGCCGAAGGAGGGGCCCGCGCCCGAUUAGCUAGUUGGUGAGGUAAUGGCUCACCAAGGCAUUGAUCGGUAGCUGGUCUGAGAGGAUGAUCAGCCACACUGGAACUGAGACACGGUCCAGACUCCUACGGGAGGCAGCAGUGGGGAAUCUUGCACAAUGGGCGAAAGCCUGAUGCAGCGACGCCGCGUGGGGGAUGAAGCAUUUCGGUGUGUAAACCCCUUUCGAUCCGGACGAAACCCCGCAAGGGAUUGACGGUACGGAUAUAAGAAGCCCCGGCUAACUACGUGCCAGCAGCCGCGGUAAGACGUAGGGGGCCAGCGUUGUUCGGAAUUACUGGGUGUAAAGGGUUCGUAGGCGGUGUAGCAAGUCGGGAGUGAAAUCUUUGGGCUUAACCCAGAGACUGCUUCCGAAACUGCUGUGCUUGAGUGUGGGAGAGGCGCGUGGAAUUGCAGGUGUAGCGGUGAAAUGCGUAGAUAUCUGCAGGAACACCCGUGGCGAAAGCGGCGCGCUGGACCACUACUGACGCUGAGGAACGAAAGCUAGGGGAGCAAACAGGAUUAGAUACCCUGGUAGUCCUAGCCCUAAACGAUCAGGACUUGGGGUGCCACCCGUUCGGGUGUCGUCCCGGAGCUAACGCGUUAAGUCCUGCACCUGGGGAGUACGGUCGCAA